AGUGAACGCUGGCGGUAGGCCUAACACAUGCAAGUCGAACGGCAGCACAGAGGAGCUUGCUCCUUGGGUGGCGAGUGGCGGACGGGUGAGGAAUACAUCGGAAUCUACUCUGUCGUGGGGGAUAACGUAGGGAAACUUACGCUAAUACCGCAUACGACCUACGGGUGAAAGCAGGGGACCUUCGGGCCUUGCGCGAUUGAAUGAGCCGAUGUCGGAUUAGCUGGUUGGCGGGGUAAAGGCCCACCAAGGCGACGAUCCGUAGCUGGUCUGAGAGGAUGAUCAGCCAAACUGGAACUGAGACAAGUGCGAGACUCCUACGGGAGGCAGCAGUGGGGAAUAUUGGACAAUGGGCGCAAGCCUGAUCCAGCCAUACCGCGUGGGUGAAGAAGGCCUUCGGGUUGUAAAGCCCUUUUGUUGGGAAAGAAAUCCAGCUGGCUAAUACCCGGUUGGGAUGACGGUACCCAAAGAAUAAGCACCGGCUAACUUCGUGCCAGCCGCCGCCGUAA
This 506-nucleotide ribosomal RNA is filed under the name uncultured bacterium. RNAcentral's name for it is "partial 16S ribosomal RNA". It matches the Rfam family "Bacterial small subunit ribosomal RNA", at positions 29 to 523 of the family's 1533-position model. The record is from RNAcentral.